This 440-nucleotide ribosomal RNA is filed under the name uncultured bacterium. RNAcentral describes it as "partial 16S ribosomal RNA". It matches the Rfam family "Bacterial small subunit ribosomal RNA", at positions 338 to 795 of the family's 1533-position model. The record is from RNAcentral.
CCUACGGGUGGCAGCAGUGGGGAAUAUUGCACAAUGGGGGAAACCCUGAUGCAGCAACGCCGCGUGAGUGAUGACGGCCUUCGGGUUGUAAAGCUCUGUCUUCAGGGACGAUAAUGACGGUACCUGAGGAGGAAGCCACGGCUAACUACGUGCCAGCAGCCGCGGUAAUACGUAGGUGGCGAGCGUUGUCCGGAUUUACUGGGCGUAAAGGGAGCGUAGGCGGACUUUUAAGUGAGAUGUGAAAUACUCGGGAUCAACUUGAGUGCUGCAUUUCAAACUGUAAGUCUAGAGUGCAGGAGAGGAGAAUGGAAUUCCUAGUGUAGCGGUGAAAUGCGUAGAGAUUCGGAGGAACACCGGUGGCGAAGGCGGCCAACUGGGCUUUAACUGACGCUGAGGCUCGAAAGUGUGGGGAGCAAACAGGAUUAGAUACCCCAGUAGUC